AAAACAUUCUUAUGAGUUUAUAUAUAGCACCAAUUCUUUGAGCAGUAUUGUUUGGUAACAAUAAUAACAUUAUUGUUUUAGUUUCUCAAAAGCUCUCUUCAUAGCAGUAGUUGAAUUGUGGCAGACUAAAUGCCACAGUACAUUUCUAUGAGUUCUACCAUUUUAUUCUGCAUCCAUGGGCAUGGAAGUUGCAGGUGUUGGUUUCUCUUACCAAGUUUAAAUUGUUUCCUAGUAUCCAUGAGCAAAAAAAUGUUACUGCAUGAAGAGCACCUUGACAAAAAAUGGGCAUCUCUCCCCAGUGAUUCGUGUAUUUGUCACCUCCAGCUUGAACUCCCAUAACUGGAGUGGAAUCUGAAACCUGUGAAUGUAUUCAGAAGUUGACUGCUGGAUUUUUCCACGAUGUAAGGUCCUUUUAACGCAGUAUGUCUGAAUUCAAGUCUCUCAGCAAGUGUUUCCAUUCUAUGUCAGUGUCUGUUUACAGAGCUGGAAGAGUGUGUCAAGUGACUGAGUGGCAUAAUGAUUUGGCCCAUGGAAAUGGUGGAAGAGCUCCCCAAUCCCAAUUCAGCUGCACCCUGCAAACACCACAUUUCUGUAUGAAGACUGCACUGAUAGAAAAAGAAGAUCUGUGCCACAGCUUUUUGCAGGACUUUACAUAAUAGCUUCUCAGUAGAUUUGUGAAUAGCCAGAAAAACUGUCGAGGGAAGCAAUGGUGCAGACACCAGCCUGAGCUGCAGUUCUUUCCUGUAGCUUUCUUUAUAUAAGGGCAGAGAGAUGUUAAGCGUACAGUGCUACUCCUAUUUCAUAUUUUUUUGCACUUUGACUAAAAGAUGCUAUAUGUGAUCCAAAAGUUCUGUCACAUUAACUAAGUUAACACAUUAACUAACCAUGCAUGUGGUUGUUGUUGGUUGUGAAACUACUAGCGUGGAUUUUUUUCUGGAUGAGAUGUUAACAUGAACACAUGUACAUGCAGGCAGACAUACUUUUGAAGAAGCAACUUGUUAAGUCUUUCUAAGAGUACUACAGUUUGAGACAGUAAUAAUUAGGAAAAAAAAAAAAAGAUAAAUAAUGGUCUAUUUUUAAAAUGGCAGUAUGUAACUGAUGCCUGAUGGAAAAGUCAGUGCAGAGAGAAUAAAACACACCAAAGAAAUAAACUGGAAGAAAAG
Molecule: long non-coding RNA, 1163 nt
Filed under: Coturnix japonica (Japanese quail)
Lineage: Eukaryota; Metazoa; Chordata; Aves; Galliformes; Phasianidae
Description: lncRNA (ENSCJPG00005012821.1)
Source: RNAcentral